UACGUAGGGUGCAAGCGUUGUCCGGAAUUAUUGGGCGUAAAGAGCUCGUAGGCGGUCUGUCGCGUCGGCUGUGAAAACCCGGGGCUCAACCCCGGGCCUGCAGUCGAUACGGGCAGACUAGAGUGCGGUAGGGGAGACUGGAAUUCCUGGUGUAGCGGUGAAAUGCGCAGAUAUCAGGAGGAACACCGGUGGCGAAGGUGGGUCUCUGGGCCGUAACUGACGCUGAGGAGCGAAAGCGUGGGGAGCGAACAGG
Molecule: ribosomal RNA, 253 nt
Filed under: uncultured bacterium
Lineage: Bacteria
Description: partial 16S ribosomal RNA
Rfam family: Bacterial small subunit ribosomal RNA
Source: RNAcentral